UACGAGGGGGGCGAGCGUUGUUCGGAAUUAUUGGGCGUAAAGGGUGCGUAGGCGGCCUGACAAGUCUGAUGUGAAAUCCCUGGGCUCAACCCAGGGCCUGCAUCGGAAACUGUCGGGCUUGAGUAUGGGAGAGGUGAGUGGAAUUCCUGGUGUAGCAGUGAAAUGCGUAGAUAUCAGGAGGAAUACCGAUGGCGAAGGCAGGUCUCUGGGCUGACACUGACGCUCAUGCACGAAAGCGUGGGGAGCAAACAGG
Molecule: ribosomal RNA, 253 nt
Filed under: uncultured bacterium
Lineage: Bacteria
Description: partial 16S ribosomal RNA
Rfam family: Bacterial small subunit ribosomal RNA
Source: RNAcentral